CUCCAUGCCAUGUCCAUCCAACGCCGCUCUGCUUCGUGCUUCUCCCGAGCGCCCUGCUCGCCGGCUCCACCAACCUCCCGCCCAGGCCUCUCCAUGUCAUCGCCAGCCACCCUCCCUGUGCAGUGUCGACCUGCUGGUCGCGGUGCUGCUUUGCAUCCUUUAUGAUGGUGCAUCUGGAACAUAUGCAGAAUGAGGCAUCCAUGGUCAAGCUUCGAUAGACUUGCUAAAGUUAAAGCUCAUGAUGAACUUAUGCAGACAAUGUCUCUGAUGUUCAAGAGAGAACUCUGUAAAUGAGGACAAUGUCGCGAGCUGCAAAUCUGUAAAUGAUGUUGAAGAGAGAGCUAUAAAUGUCUCUUCAACAACGGACGUGCAGCCUGUAGGUAAUUGGUCUUGUGUCUUCUUGUGCCUAAGUUGAAGAGAGAGCUACAAUAAAAAGAGUCUAAGCGAUCAAGGUCCUACUAAUCAAUUAAGUUGGCCGUUUGCUUGCUUCUUGUGCCUACAACAUGCUCGCUGGAUUGUUUUGUCGUAGUAUGAAAGCUUGUAAGCGCCAGAUUGAGGUCCUACUAAUAAAUUAAGGUGGCUGCUUGCUUGCUUUUUUUUCCUCAGUAUUGCAAGCUUUACUGUGAAUUAAAAGGAAUUGAGUUCCUCUGAGCACAGUUUAAUUAUUGGUGAGCAUUCAGGUGAGUGAUCAGCUUAUGCUCCACCGAUGCAGGCAUCCAGAGGUUCGACUGCGUUGGCAGGAGCUCGGUUGGUUUACUUAUAUGCUUUUUUUCUGCAACAUUGGGUUAUUUGGGUAGUUCAUGCAUGUUCGUCCUCUUUAUAUGGUUUUUCUCAUAAUGCGCGCCCCGAAGAUAGGUUCUUUUAGUUGCUACAGAUUUUAGUUUUUUCUGCUUACUGUCAUGUCCACUUUCUUAUCUGAUUAAGCAACUAAUAUAUGAAUAUCUGUGCAAAGUUCUACCAUUUUUGCACUCACUUAUGGGGCCAUCUAUGUAGAGUUUGUUCUGCUAUUCUCCAACUUAAAUCAAGAAUGCAGUCUCAUGUCAUUGUCUUUGCUAAUACAGUAUGUAAUGCAAUCCAAUUGUAGUGUCAUGUUCCAGCUCCUUUUAUUUUCAUCGUGAUGUGCAAGGUUGUUCAUGUGCUCUUCUUGCCAUGCACUAAUCAAAGUGUACAUGUAGAUGCUAAAAAUUGCUUAUCAUCAAAUUACUUGACUUAUGUACUGCUUGGACUUGUUUAAUUAAAGAGAUGUCUCUUUAAAUUGACUAUAUUUACUUGUCACACAUCAUUUGGGUCUUUUGCAUUGCCAAGAGUUGUACCUGAAACUUCAUACAUUGUAUAAUUUCUUGUUAUCCUUCUGUGCAUGGAGUCAUCUUCUGGGUAGUACAAUCCAGGUCGACCAUGCUGAGAUAAUCAUCAUUUUAAUUAUGACAGAUUACCAAGUUUAAUAUUUCAGUUCUCCGAAACAUAAUCUGAUUAUGACAGCUUAUCAAAUUUAAUAUUCUACACAUGGUGAACUUCAUCAAAUUAGGAUACCUACUUGUUUUAUCAUUCUAUCAGCAACCUAAGCUGAUACUAUAAGAUAUUAAACCCAUUUGUAGUUCAGACCUUGCACGAUUCUGAUGGGGAAGAAAAAAGUGACUUGUCCCUAUGGGCUAUGGAGACAAUGGAUCUCCUCUGUAUCAAGGUGAUGUUGGUUCGACAAAUGGAUAUCUCUACCUUUUGUUUUGUGAAGAGUUGUGUCUGAAACCUGGUGAAACGACAGGAAAAUAGAAUGCAGGGUCUAUAAUGAAAAGAUGUUUUAUUUUGAGCACGAUGCAGAACUUGUUCUCAGUAUACUAUGCCAUUUUUCAUAUGUUGACAUGUGAUUCCAAAUAAGUUCUAUUGGUUUAGAAAUAUGUAAUCCUGCAAUAUUCCACAUUUUAAUUUUAAUUUUAAAUUUAAUAUAUAUUGUAUAUGAGCUUGUUUUAAAUUUUUUAUUUAAUAUAUGUUUACUUUUUUUAAGAUCAAUAUAAAAACCAUUGGCUUUGGAUGUUGCUUUGAAAAUGUCGAUUGACUAAGUUACUGACAUAACUAUGAUGUACUGAAACUAAUCGAGUUUUAUACUUUUAUAUAAGGAAAAUGAUUCCUUUCAGGCUGUCGACGGAAGCUUGCGCCAGUCGCCUGUGAAUCUUUCGAUCGCGUCUCAUCUACCAGUUCUCCCUAACGCACACAUCCAGGCGAUUCAAUCCCCUCCUUCAUCCUUACCUCAUGAGGAAACCGCCAGCCACUUGUUCUCUCCCGUUCCUCUCAUCUGCCAAGCUUCGUUUUGUCCCUCUCUCACAUCACCUUUUUUCUCCUUUUCAUCCAGCGUCACUGCUGGACGUAGUUGCGAGUAUGAAUGUGGGGGCAGGCGAUGAGUCGGCUGCAAGUGCGAGCGUGGUGUUGUGGCGACGGGCAGCAAGGACGAACGCGUGCACGAGCUGCGCUGCUGCAGGAGGCACUGCAGCGUGAUGCAACUGAGGAGCUACAACCACCAGUUAGUGAAGCUGCAACCGUCAUAUGGUGCCUACAUUCAGACGGCCGGCAACGACGGCUGCCGGCUGCGUGUGGAGACGAGCAUGGCGAGACGAAAAGCUGCAACAGGCAAAGAUUUUUGUUGGAACCGGCGGCAUGUUUUGUUGGGACCGGCAGGGCGAUGUGCUACGACGGUGACGCAGGGGCGGAGACGGUGUGUUGGGACCGGGAAGACGAAUAGCUGCAACCGACAAUGAUCAACCAGUUACAUGUUUGGAGAAGGUUUAUAAAAUCUCUACUUCUUCAUGUUGCAUCAAGGCAUUGAUAUUGGUCUAGAAUGCAUAUGUUUUAUAAUAAAAAGACAAACCUCAUGCAUUUGUUUUUAUUGCAACUUUUUUUGUAGUCAUCAAUAGUCAUAUGCCAAGUACUGUUUGAUCAUUUUUAGGGUAUUGUCAUUCUUUUUACAGACCACUUGCGUUGGGCAAGAGGGUUCUGCUGUGGAGACCAAGAAAAAAGGAUGGCAACAUUGGGGACGCCUCAACUGCCGAUGAUGAACGCAGCUCGGAACAAGCAAAGCUCCACGCGAGGCUCCCCUUCUUAGACCAGUACUAAGGACUGCAGUUAUGUGGAUCCACUUUACCAGAAUGUCGAGCCCAUCAUAUCGUGUUCGACCCAUGAACCGGAAGGAUUGCUUGCCAUUAUGUGGUAUAGUUGUCCUUUGAGAUAUAUUAUUGUUUGUAUGAAUUAUGAGCUUCUCUGUGUCUAAAUUUACUCAAAUAGUCUUCUAGGAAUCUUGUUUUUGAUCCACUUUGGAGUCACAAUUUGUUGCUUGACACUUUGUUCUCUAACCCUCAAUUAAAGUUAUUACUAUAUUCAAGUGAUCGAAUAUUAGUCAGUGUAUUACAUUUUUUAUUUUCUUAUUUAUCUAAGUUGUGCCUUUUGGUAUUAUGUCAUCAUAGUGGAAUUUCAAAUAUGUUAGUGAUUACAUCUAAUAUUCCUGCACAUUUUACUGUUUCUCUUAUGUAUUUUUCACACAUAGUUUUUUUAUUUGGCGCAUCACCUGGCAAGUACCUAUCUCUACUACUAUUAUAAAGAGGAGUAUGUAGGUCGUUUCAUUUCCUCCCUUGUCCCUCACUGCUAGCCUGCCAUGGCAGCGUCCACUGAAGACAAAUGAAUUAAAUAAGUGACCAAGGGUAGAAUUAGCACUAAAUAGGAAGGCAAUUGCCGCCCUUGUCCCUCCCUGCCAUGGCAGCGUCGACCAAUGGCUUACUUAGAACACGAGUUUGUGGAUUUUAUGAUAAGAGUUAGUGUUGAGAGGAGCGAGACGGGGUUUGUCUGUUCGGCUGUGGUUGUUUGAGUGGAAUAAUUUCUCUACUUUAUAAAUUGCAUGAGCGAGCGGUUCAUAAUUAUUUUAUCAAGUCAUACAAUUUUUUGGUUAGGAUAGAAGGGUUAAUAAUGUACAUGUUGGGAUAUCAGUUGCAUGCAAAACAACAUAUAUCAUAUUUUGUUUCAUGGUAAUGUAUGCCAUUCAACUAAGUGUUAUAACGUGGCAAUGGCGGCGGAGACAUCGGAUCUUUCUUCUUGGCUUGGGGUGCGUCAUGGGCGGCGCACGCCUCGUCUCCCUUGAUGGCGGUGGCAGAUCGAAACACAGGGAGCAGAUCAGGGUGGAGAUUGGGGCGGUUGGCGUGGGACAUCUCCUUGACCUUCUGUGGGGGAAGUAGGUGUGAGGGAGGGCGCCAUGUCGAAGGUGAGGUGGGCAUCAUCCGGCUUUAAAAGAGAGGGCUCAAGUGAGACAUGUCUUCUAUAACAGAAAACCGAGCGACAAGGGGAGGGUGCGUCACUGGAUGGGGGUUUUGUGUUGGAACUGCAUGAGAAAACAUAGCAGAUAGUUCGGACAAUCACAUUUCUCCUCCAUAUAUUGGCUCGACUUGGGGAACUCGGACUGCCCAGACGGUUGGAGUUUUAGGAGCCUGUUGGGCGCCCGUUUGAUGUCCGAGCAAGCCCAGACAUACGAGGGAGAAAUGAGCUUCGACUUUGGAGACGACAUUAAUCUUUUGUUUAAUUCAUAUAUAUACAUGCAUUGUAGCCCGUAGUCCGUAGCAACGCACGGUCGAUGAUGCGGGGUGUUUGGAGUAAGUAUCAUGUAUCAAUAUUUAAUCUGGGAUGUACAUUCUUCUUCUUCUUACCAUCCAAUUGUUAGGAAGGAAUGGGUCUGUAGCUCGACACCUGAUCCAAUGGGCUUAAGUCUUAAGAAACUUCAGUGCAUACUUAACAUGGAGCAGCCUAUGAACAAUGAUUGAUUCAACACCGCCGUGCGUAUACUGGCAUGUGACGAGGGAGUAUUGUUCACGGACCCUCCUAUACACUACAUGGAUCUAAGAUUUUGUGUAAGUUAUCGUAACUCUUCAUUCUAUGUGGCAUUAGUAUCAGCAUGUUGAAGCAAUAUUUAUUUUGUUUACUUAGUCCAUGAUGCUAGAGACAACACGAGGUCAGAAGUUUUGCGAGAAGGAAACUAUAUAGACGUUGGCAACAUUAUUUGAUAGCUGGCCUGGGAUGGACAACAACAUCUCAUCGUGCAACAUGGUAAGUAAAGUAUUUUGUCUAUUGUUAUCAUGGUUUAUUGUUGUUUCUAAUAGCUCCACGUGUAGAUUUAUUUUCCCUAUGCAUCCAUUGGCCGAUACAUCGUGUACGUCAUCGACAAAGAGGCAUGUCGUCUAUAUAUUAUGGACCCUAUUCAAACAUCACAAUUGUCAGAGGAUAAAAAUUUGAGGCAUGCACUAAAAUUUAAAAGUUUUGCAAGGGAUUUCAAAGAAGCACUCGAAAUAAAGCUGUCUGGUUGGAAUUCUGAUAUAUCUAAAUGGCAAUGUUUAUUUCCGUUUGGUAUUCCAACGAGUGUAGACGGAUAAUGAAUUCAUAAUAAAACAUUUAUUUUUGUUAUCACUAUAUUCUUUAUAUUAUUAAUUUAAAAAAUUGCAGGAAUGUGUUUGGCUAUUUUGUUUUUUAUUUUAUGCUCUGGUGGAACGGUAAAGAAUUGGCCAAGCCGGUUUGCGCGGUGAGUAUUGUCUGUUGCAUGUUCUAAGACCUUCGGCGUGAAAUUUUCAUACUAACUACAUAUAUUGUUUGUGCAGGACGGGUAUGAGUAGAGGAAGCAGUUUUUAUUAUACUUGCUAAAACAUCGUGGGAAUUAAGCUAAAGGCAACUUUUCUGAUAUUGUGAAAGAAUAUCUUAAGCGUAUCAUCUAGAUAUUGAUAGUUUUGUUAUAGAUGUUAAGGUCGAACAUCGCUCAGUUUGUUACAUGGGCAUGUCAUUAUUUUUUCUUUUUAUUAUCAUUUUACAUUGCAAAAACGGAUGAAGUACUUAAAUAAUUGUGUUUGUGUUAUAUUUUUUGUACGUGUGAUAUUUAACAUGUAACUCGUGCAAACUAUUUUAAGAGCCCGUGGCAACGCACGGGCAAUCUACUAUAUUAUCUAGGAGUUUAGUAGCUUCUCCUAAAGUGAUUUCCAUAAAAGUGCCUCCCACGGCCGAAUCUAAAAGAUUUCUAGAAGCAAAAUUCAAUCCGGCAUAAAAGUUUUGUAUAAUCAUCCACAAAUUAAACCAUGAGUAGGGCAAUUACGUAUCAUUAAUUUCAUCCUCUCCCAAGCUUGUGCAACAUGUUCAUGAUCAAGUUGCUUAAAAUUCAUAAUAUCGUUUCUAAGAGAGAUGAUCUUAGCGGGAGGAAAAUACUUAGAGAUAAAAGCAUCUUUGCACUUAUUCCAUGAAUCAAUACUAUUUUUAGGCAAAGACGAAAACCAAGCUUUAGCACGAUCUCUAAGUGAAAAAGGAAAUAGCUUCAACUUAACAAUAUCAUUAUCAACAUCUUUCUUCUUUUGCAUAUCACACAAAUCAACGAAGCUAUUUAGAUGAGUAGCGGCAUCUUCACUAGGAAGGCCGGCGAAUUGAUCUUUCAUGACAAGAUUCAACAAAGCAGUAUUGAUUUCACAAGAUUCAGUAUCGGUAAGAGGAGCAAUCGGAGUGCUAAGAAAAUCAUUAUUGUUGGUAUUGGUAAAGUCACAUAAUUUGGUAUUAUCUUGAGCCACCGUGACAAACGAGCAAUCCAACACACGAGCAAACAAAAAGCAAGCAAAAAAAGGCGAACGAAAAAGAGAGGGCGAAUAAAACGACAAGGGUGAAGUGGGGGAGAGGAAAACGAGAGGAAAAUGGCAAAUAAUGUAAUGCGGGAGAUAAGGGUGUGUGAUGGGUACUUGGUAUGUUGACUUUUGCGUAGACCUCCCCGGCAACGGCGCCAGAAAUCCUUCUUGCUACCUCUUGAGCACUGCGUUGGUUUUCGCUUGAAGAGGAAAGGGUGAUGCAGCAAAGUAGCGUAAGUAUUUCCCUCAGUUUUGAGAACCAAGGUAUCAAUCCAGUAGGAGGCUACGCGCGAGUCCCUCGCACCUACACAAAACAAAUAAAUCCUCGCAACCAACGCGAUAAGGGGUUGUCAAUCCCUUCACGGUCACUUACGAGAGUGAGAUCUGAUAGAUAUGAUAGGAUACUAUUUUUGGUAUUUUUAUGAUAAAGAUGCAAAGUAAUAUAAAAGCAAAGUAAAAAGCAAAGGAAAUAACUAAGUGUUGGAAGAUUAAUAUGAUGAAGAUAGACCCGGGGGCCAUAGGUUUCACUAGUGGCUUCUCUCAAGAGCAUAAGUAUUUUACGGUGGGUGAACGAAUUACUGUUGAGCAAUUGACAGAAUUGAGCAUAGUUAUGAGAAUAUCUAGGUAUGAUCAUGUAUAUAGGCAUCACGUCCGAGACAAGUAGACCGACUCCUGCCUGCAUCUACUACUAUUACUCCACUCAUCGACCGCUAUCCAGCAUGCAUCUAGAGUAUUAAGUUCAUGAAAACAGAGUAACGCCUUAAGCAAGAUGACAUGAUGUAGAGGGAUAAAUUCAUGCAAUAUGAUCAAAAAAAACAUCUUGUUAUCCUCGAUGGCAACAAUACAAUACGUGUCUUGCUGCCCCUACUGUCACAGGGAAAGGACACCGCAAGAUUGAACCCAAAGCUAAGCACUUCUCCCAUUGCAAGAAAGAUCAAUCUAGUAGGCCAAACCUAACUGAUAAUUCGAAGAGACUUGCAAAGAUAACCAAUCAUACAUAAAAGAAUUCAGAGAAGAUUCAAAUAUUGUUCAUAGAUAAACUUGAUCAUAAACCCACAAUUCAUCGGUCUCAACAAACACACCGCAAAAGAAGAUUACAUCGAAUAGAUCUCCACGAGAGAGGGGGAGAACAUUGUAUUGAGAUCCAAAAAGAGAGAAGAAGCCAUCUAGCUACUAACUAUGGACCCGAAGGUCUGAAGUAAACUACUCACACUUCAUCGGAGAGGCUAUGGUGUUGAUGUAGAAGCCCUCCGUGAUCGAUGCCCCCUCCAGCGGAGCUCCGGAACAGGCCCCAAGAUGGGAUCUCGUGGGUACAGAAGGUUGCGGCGGUGGAAUUAGGUUUUUGGCUCCGUAUCUAAUCAUUUGGGGGUACGUAGGUAUAUAUAGGAGGAAGGAGUACGUCGGUGGAGCAACAGGGGGCCCACGAGGGUGGAGGGUGCGCCCCUACCUCGUGGCCUCCUUUUUUGUUUCUUGACGUAGGGUCCAAGUCUCCUGGAUCAUAUUCUUCCUAAAAAUCACGUUCCCGAAGGUUUCAUUCCGUUUGGACUCCGUUUGAUAUUCCUUUUAUGCGAAACUCUGAAAUAGGCAAAAAACAGCAAUUCUGGGCUGGGCCUCCGGUUAAUAGGUUAGUCCCAAAAAUAAUAUAAAAGUGAAUAAUAAAGCCCAAUAAUGUCCAAAACAGUAGAUAAUAUAGCAUGGAGCAAUCAAAAAUUAUAGAUACGUUGGAGACGUAUCAUGCAGCGUUUCCAGAUGGUGCUGGCGACCACCGGCGUCGUAGCCCUCGCCGACGCCGGCUUCGCCUCUCGCAUGGACGACAUGAUUGUCCGCUCCAUCCGCAAGUACACCCUCGUCAAGAAGCACGCGGACGACCUUGCCGUACUGCUCCAGCCCGUGCGCCCAGGCUCCUCAUUGCUUGCCACCCUCAUCGGCCUCCAUGGUGACGAACUCUUUCAAGCCCUGGUGGCCCUGCAGGUGCUGGAGGUCGCGACGAAGAAUGUGCACCUCGAGGCCGUGGUCGCCACGCAGCGCCUCGCCAUGCAAGAAACCGUCGACCUACACAUCCACGUCUAUGAGGAAAUCGUCUACAUAGGCCACUACAAGGCCAGCGAGGACAGAAAGACGUUGGCCUUCUUCCAGCAGCUGGAAUCUUUGAACGCCAUUGUUCAGAAGCACGUCGACCUGGCCACGAAAGCCGCUGCUACUUAGCCGCCGUCCGGUGGGUCGGUGCCCUGAGUCGAGGAGGUGGACAUCGUCGAUGGAUGCAUCUUUCUUCUUGCCUCCUAUAACCAGCAUUGCAUCGCCUCGUGGCCUUAAUGUUUUAUUAGUGUAUGGCAUUUUUAUUCCAGUCGUAACAUUUUCACUGUGAGGUGGGCCGCAGUUGAGCAAACCGACCAUCGGCAAAUCCCCACCCCGCCCACCGCGUGUCGGCUGAGUUUAGAAUUAGAAGAGAGAAACGAGGGAGAAGAGCUAGCUGUAGCACGGGCGCUGUUGUCAGAUGGGACUCGUGUUGAUAGAAUAGGAGUACUGAGCACUCAUACCUCUUUUUUUGAGGGAAAAGUAGUCGUACAUCUAGUACCACUAGUUGGGUGCGUGCGACCUGUACCUGUCAUCACUUUAGGACUCCUUUUCAAACCGCAACUACGCUUCAUAGUACAUAUUUUUUCACGCAUUUAUCCUCCUAUAUGUACUCCUAGGCUAUUUCCACGUGCUUCUUUUCGCCGACAUGUGGGACAUAGAGCAUCUGAGUCAUAGUGCAUGCACGACUCGGAGCAUAUGCAACCAUGCCAUCGUAAUUUACAUUUCAUACCUCACGAAUUACAUGCAAAACCCCCGCAGAAGAAUAAAUAAAUAAAUAAAUUACUACAUGAAACCGGAUUAUUUUCAUAGAAACCGGAGCACGUUCAUUAAAUUUUGGUCAUAACACAUUUAUAAAAAAUGACCGGACCUAAACCAGUCUAAGGGCCUCUUUGAUUCGCAUGAUACUGAAAACACAAGAAUGGGGAAAGUAUCACUACUGCAGGAUGCUGCUAACGCGACAUUACGAUUAGAGACCCUUCGACGAAACUAUGUGCGAUGCCAUAAUCGCAAACGGUGGUGUAAAAAACGUCAAAAAGGUGCAAAACGUUUGCGGACGGAUGCAUCAAACACGGUUCAGAUUUUAGUUGCGUGUGCGAAGCAGGGCAUACAGUUGAUCCAGACGAACUUUUUGCGAUUAGACAGAACAACAGAAAUGGGCAGCCAUAUCAAUGUGUGUGCGAUAUACGGCAUACAGUUCGCUCCGAUGAACUGUUUGCUAUUAGGGAAAGCAACAGAAACGGUCAGCCAGAUCAAGGUGUGUGUAAUAUACGGCAUACAUUUCAGUUGAAUGAACUGUUUUCGAUUAGGGAAGAGAACAUAAACGGUUCAACUUGACAAGAUGUGUGUGAUACGCGACAAAAAGGCCCGGAGGUUAAUGUAACGCCCGCGAUGCGGCUAUAUCUCCCACGUGUCGAGGCACGACUUAGAGGCAUAACCGCAUUGUAGGUAUUGUCGCAAGAAGGGUCAUCUUCACACAAUCCCAUGUAAUGAACAAGAAUGGGAUAAUGAGAGUUAGCUUACAAUCGCCACUUCACACAAUACAUAAAUUAAUUCAUACAUCAUUCAAAAUCCACACAUAGACCGACUACGGUCAAAUCCAAAUGAAAAUAAGAUAACCCCAAAUGCUAGAUCCCUGAUCGUCCCAACUGGGCUCUACUACUGAUCAUCAGGAAACGAAACAUAGUAACGACCACGUUCCUCGUCGAACUCCCACUUGAGCUCGAUUGCGUCGCCUGCACUGGUAUCGUCGGCACCUGCAACUGUGUUGGUAGAAUCUGUGAGUCACGAGGACUCAGCAAUCUCACACCCGCGAGAUCAAGACUAUUUAAGCUUAUAGGAAAGGAUGGGGUAAUGAGGUGGAGCUGCAGCAAGCACUAAGCAUAUAUGGUGGCUAACAUACGCAAAAGAGAGCGAGAAGAGAAGCAACGCAACGGUCGCGAAGCUAGAAAUGAUCAAGAAGUGAUCCUGAAACUACUUACGUUCAUACAUAACUCAAACCGUGUUCACUUCCUGGACUCCGCCGAAAAGAGACCAUCACGGCUACACACACGGUUUAUGUAUUUUAAUUAAGUCAAGUGUCAAGUUCUCUACAACCGGACAUUAACAAAUUCCCAUCUACCUCAUAACCGCGGGCACGGCUUUCGAAAGAUAAUACCCUGCAGGGGUGUCCCAACUUAGCCCAUUAUAAGCUCUCACGGUCAACGAAGGAUAAACCUUCUCCCGGGAAGACCCGAUCAGUCUCGGAAUCCCGGUUUACAAGACAUUUCGACAAUGGUAAAACAAGACCAGCAAAGCCGCCCGAAUGUGCCGACAAAUCCCGAUAGGAGCUGCACAUAUCUCGUUCUCAGGGCACACCGGAUUGUCCAAACUUCCGAUAGGCGAGCCCAGAGUUGCCCCUGGUGGCCACCGGCGGCUGACAGGUUGGACCAACACUCAGAGGAGCACUGGCCCGGGGGUUUAAAAUAAAGAUGACCCUCGGGCUCGCGAAAAACCGAGGGAAGAAGGCUUAGGUGGCAAAUGGUAAAACCAAGGUUGGGCCUUGCUGGAGGAGUUCUAUUCAAGGCGAACUGUCAAGGGGGUCCCACAAAUCACCCAACCGCGUAAGGAACGCAAACUCAAGGAACAUAAUACCGGUAUGACGGAAACUAGGGCGGCAAGAGUGGAACAAAACACCAGGCAUAAGGCCGAGCCUUCCACCCUUUACCAAAUAUAUAGAUGCAUUAAUUUAAUAAGAGAUAUUAUGAUAUUCCAAAAAUAUCCAUGUUCCAACAUGGAACCAACUUCAACUUCACCUGCAACUAGCAACGCUAUAAGAAGGGCUGAGCAAAAGCGGUAACUUAGCCAAACAACGAUUUGCUAGGAAAGGAUGGUUAGAGGCUUGACAUGGCAAUAUGGGAGGCAUGAUAUAGCAAGUGGUAGGUAGCGCAGCAUAGCAAUAGAGCGAACAACUAGCAAAGCAAAGAUAGAAGUGAUUUCGAGGGUAUGGUCAUCUUGCCUGCAAGGUUCUCAGAGUUGUCGAAAGCUUGAUCCUUGUAAACGUACUCAACAGGUUCCUCGUUCACGAACUCGUCUCCCGGAUCUACCCACAACAAGAACACAAGCAAUGGAACCACAAUCAAUCACGUGAAAUGCACAAGCAAAAUGAUGAACAAGGCAUCAACUUGGCAAACCAAGUAUGCCACUGGAAAGAUGAGAUGAUUUCGGUCAAAAUCAAUAUAAAGAUCACCGGAAACGGAUGCACGGUUUGCAAAUGGCAAGCAAAACAAGAAUGCCAUAAUUCUGCGAUUAACAGCAUGAUAGCACCUAGAAUACAUCAAGUAACUAUGCUACAGCACCCCAACAUAGCAACAAAGCAUAUGGCAGUGAUCUACAAGAGAUGCUUGACAAAAGAUGAACACUGAGCUAUGGCUAGAUCACACAAUAACAGGUUCAAAAAAGCAUGGCAAAAGUGCAAAAGAUAUCAGCUUCACAGACUUGGUGAAAAUACUGAACAUGGCUGAAACAGCAUCAGGUAGCAAUGUUCAGAGCAAGCCAAACACAUGCUACAGGAAAUUAACAUAGCAAAACAAUGCAUGGCAUGAAUCUACUAAAUUCAUAGAACAAAAGUCCCUUACUGAUCAUGAGCCAAAAAGGCACAGAAGUAUGAUGGCACCCAUGUAAACAUAGCAAGUUUCGUUAACAGGUUCCAGACUUGGCAGAAAACAGAGCAUGGCAUUAACAGAAUUAUGAAGGCAUCUUUGUAAGCUCGAUUCACUCAUCACAAAGCAAUGCAUGACAAAACAAGCAUACCUACAACAAGAUGGCAUGUUUAUGAAGCUAACCAUGGCAAGAGAAAGUAUAUAGCAUGUAUGGAUCAACUACAACAACCUUGGCAAAAUUGAAUAUCAUGUUAAUAAUCUGCCAGGAACAUUUUAUAGCAAAGGUAGAGCACGAUUAAGACAUGCUAGGGCACUCCAUAAUUGCAAACAGGGGCAUGGAUGGAUAGAGCAUAACCAUAUGUCCAAAACAUCCUUACUUAACAUCCUCAAAAUAAGCAUGGAUCUCACUGUAGCCACAAGGAUACAUGGCAUCAAAAUAACAGCAGGUAAAGGACUUGGCAAAAUUCUAAGUCCCUGAAAACAGAAACAUCACGAAGCCUAGUUUGCAUGCUUGUGCUAGUCACCACAUAGAUCACAAAAAUACAUGGCAUACACCUCUGUAAAGAUGGCAUGGCAUAUUUCAAAACACAUGUAGAGCUCAUGCUCAUAAUAUGCACACAUCAAAUGCAGCAAAAAUGACAAAUCAUCAUAUUCUGAUAAGUAACAGCAGUAAACAACAUAUAGCACUCUUGCAUCAGAGAUUUUGGCCUCAAGAUGAACUCAAACGAGCAUGGCACAAUGGAACAAAAUGAAGAGCAUGUCGUGAUGAACAUUUUGAUAUAUCACACGCAUGAAACGGAGCAGUAUGCAAGGAGAUAUGAUGCGAUGAACAGAGCCACAUAAUAUGAGAAAAACGAGGGGGGGGAAGAAGUCAACCUCGAUCUAGGGUUUCGGGCACGCGAACCGAGGAUGGCCGGGGAUUCUCGCCGGAGAUCGCCGCGGUCGCCGGAGAAGAGCUCGGGGAAGGUCGGAGAAGGCGCCGGCGGGGACGGGGCCGGCCGGAGGAGGCGGAUCCGGCGCCGGCGGACGGAGGGAGCGGCGGCUCGGCGGCGCGCGGAGGCGGCGCACUGGCUAGCUCGGACGGCACCGGCGGGGAUGGAGUGGGCGCGGGACGGCGCGGGCGGAGGACGAGGCGGCGCGGGGAAGGGUUCGGGCGGCGGCAACGCGCUCGGGNNNNNNNNNNNNNNNNNNNNNNNNNNNNNNNNNNNNNNNNNNNNNNNNNNNNNNNNNNNNNNNNNNNNNNNNNNNNNNNNNNNNNNNNNNNNNNNNNNNNNNNNNNNNNNNNNNNNNNNNNNNNNNNNNNNNNNNNNNNNNNNNNNNNNNNNNNNNNNNNNNNNNNNNNNNNNNNNNNNNNNNNNNNNNNNNNNNNNNNNNNNNNNNNNNNNNNNNNNNNNNNNNNNNNNNNNNNNNNNNNNNNNNNNNNNNNNNNNNNNNNNNNNNNNNNNNNNNNNNNNNNNNNNNNNNNNNNNNNNNNNNNNNNNNNNNNNNNNNNNNNNNNNNNNNNNNNNNNNNNNNNNNNNNNNNNNNNNNNNNNNNNNNNNNNNNNNNNNNNNNNNNNNNNNNNNNNNNNNNNNNNNNNNNNNNNNNNNNNNNNNNNNNNNNNNNNNNNNNNNNNNNNNNNNNNNNNNNNNNNNNNNNNNNNNNNNNNNNNNNNNNNNNNNNNNNNNNNNNNNNNNNNNNNNNNNNNNNNNNNNNNNNNNNNNNNNNNNNNNNNNNNNNNNNNNNNNNNNNNNNNNNNNNNNNNNNNNNNNNNNNGGAGGCGGACGCCACGUGGCGCAGCGCGAUAGGUGCGGGCGCGGCGGCGGGGUUUGUCUGGCGCGGACCGGACGUGUCCGGCGCGCGGAGGGAGCGGGGCUAUGGUUUUUUGGACUGCGGGAUUUCGGGGAGGCUCACAUAUAUAUAGCUAGAGGGAGCUAGGAGACUCCAAAUGGAGUGCGGUUUUUGCCCACACGAUCAUGAUCGAACGAUCGAGAGCAUGGAGGGGGCUUAGAUGGGUUAUUGGGCUGUUUGGAGGGGUGUUUGGCUGCAACACUCAAAAGGCCUUUGCGGUUACCCGGUUAACCGUUGGAGCAUCAAACGACCUCCAAAUGGAACGAAACUUGACAGGUGGUCUACCGGUGGUGUACCAAGGCCACUUGGAAAACCUCGGUCCAUUCCGAGAAUGUUUAACACCCGCUCACGAAAAGAGACAAGAGGGGUGCGCCGGUGCAUGUGGGAGUGUCGGAUUGCAAAACGGACAACGGGGAAAAUGCUCGGAUGCAUGAGACGAACACGUAUGCAAAUAAGAUGCACAUGAUGACAUGAUAUGAAAUGCAUGACAUGAACAAAAUGCAAAACGAAAGACAAAACCCGACCACGAAAGGAAUAUCAUAACACAUAGCCGAAAAUGGCAAGAGUUGGAGUUACAAAUAUGGAAAGUUACAUCCGGGGUGUUACAGUUAAUUCGAGAACAAGUACACAGAGGUUAAUUUGACAUACAUGACUUAUAAGUUUGACAGAAAUCAUAUCAAUUUUUUUGGAAAACAUUUAAUUACGUUGAACGUAUAUAAUGCUCCAUCCUAUUAGUUGAAUUAACUUCGAGGUCCAUGUUUUGGAAACAUGUCGUAAAGUAACGGGAUAGACCUUCAUUCAAGCCAACCAACAUGUGUUCAAAAAACAAAAAUUAUCAAAAAGUAACGAGAUAGACCUUCUUCAAGCCAAUCAACAUGUGUACAAAAAACAAAAAAUGUAAAAAAUUACAAAACAGGGACCUCGAGGUUAAUUCAACUAAUAUGAUGGAGCACUAUAUACAUUCAACACAAUUAAAUGUUUACAGUGACCCAUCACAUCAGUUAAUUUAACAUCGAGGCCACUUCCCAUCCGGUCACCCAUCUGAUGACUACUCCAGCCUCAGCACACUUAACUUGGGAGUUCUGUUAGAUGAGCUAUAGGUAGGGAAGUUGGUCCUUGCUGCUGUAGGAUCCCUCUUUGCAUCCUUUAUUGGGCACCCGGAUGACCGACUGUUGCCGCCCAAUGGUCAAUGCCACGUCCCCCGCAUGGCAGUUUUUGCAGCGGGUAACUGCAUCGUCGCGCCACGCCCGGCGCACCGCAUGCACAUGAACGUGCGUGAUCGUGCGCCGGCCCCAAACACUGGCAGCACAACUUAUAAAUUUACGGAUGGAGUACUAGUUACAGUGAUGCAUAUAAUUAAGAAAAGGGAUCGCACAUGUCUGUAUUGACUAGAACGAGAAUGCAAUAGCACAAUAAGAAUUAAGGCCACGAUGAUGCCAUCGCAGUGGUGGUUACAGGAGGCAAGAAGAAAGAUGCAUCCAUCAACGUACGACCUCCUCCUCCUCAACUCAGUGCGCCGGGCCACCGACCGGCGGCUAAGGAGCAUUGGCUUUUGUGGCGAGGUUAAGGUGCUUCUCAGCGAAGGCAUCCAAGGCUUCCAGCCGGUUGAAGAAGGCCAACGUCGUAGCGUCCUCACUGGCCUUGUAGAUACCUAUGUACACGAUUCGCUCGUACACAUGGAUGUGUAGGUCGACGGUUUCUUGCAGGGCGAGGCACCUCGCGGCGAGCGCGACCUCCAAGUGGACAUUCUUUGUGGCGUCGGCGGGCAGUCGCAGGGCCACCAGUGCUUGAAAGAGGUUCCGACCAUGGAGGCCAAUUAGGGUGGCAGGCAAUGAGGAGCCCGGGCACACGGGCUGGAGGAGUACGGCGAUGUCGUCCGCGAGCUUCUUGACGACGGUGAACCUGUUGGUGGUGCGAACGAUCAUCUGGUCGUACUGAGAGUCAUAGCUGGCAUCGACAACGGCCAUCCACCAGCCGGUCGCCAACACCGUGUGGAGACGAUCCACGGUGCCAUGCCGCGGGCCGGCAUCAUGGACCAUCUGGCACAGCCACUGGCCGCUCGUGCGCAUCGCCGCCAUGGGUCUGGAGUGAGCACUUUGCGCUUAUUAGUGUAGGUGCUUAGGCAAAUGCUUAGGUGCGUACGAUGUGGUAGAUGCAUUGGAAUGGACGGGCGCCUUUAUAUGAGUGAAAACUGCGUUGCAUUCACAUCGUGCUGCCUCUUUUCCCGGUCCUCCUCCCAUUACUUCCCUCAUGCAUUCACACGAUGCUAAUUGAAGCAGGAUGCAUCAUUGGCCGUUCAACAUUUCGGAAACCGCUACCCUCUCCCCCGUCUGCAUUAAAGCCGUAUCAGGAACUGCGUCGCCCGCUGUCAAAUCGAAUAGUACUGCGCGCCCGCUGCACGCCCGUCUGAACAUGCCUCCUCACCUCCAUCUAUGCUUAAGUACUGAAUUUUAGUUGCAAAAAUUAGAUACUGCUAGUGAUUUUUAGCUUCAUAUUUUGACAAAUCGCAGUGUUACAAGGUUGGCAAAUGGCAAUGUUACUAGAUCAACAAAUGUCAAUCUUUCUAGUUUGACAAAUGGCAACAUACCCAAUAUGAUAGAAGCAAAUCUUACCAAAUUGUUUGUAAGUGGUUCACACGGGUCAUCCAAAAGAACCGUUUGUGUUCAAGAGAUGCACAAAUCAUGCGCUCACUUUGCAAACGGGUGUUCUAUCUAAAACAUUUGCGAUCAAGAGCCAUUAAAUCCUAUAGCCAUUAAAAACCAAGACACGUGGCGUCACGUGAAUGGUUAACAUAACGCACACGGUUUGAAUUAUACAAACAUUUGAGAUAUUAAAGUGGCAGCUAUUUUUUCAAAAUGCCUUUAUUGGCUGUUAUUCGAGUGCGCCUUCUCUCAAAAUGGACACGAAAAAUACCACAACAUGUCGGGUGCCAUUCCAUUAUAGCAUGCCAUGUUUCAUGAAUUUCAUACGAGUUUUGGAUUUACUAGAAUUUAAAAACCAGGCAUCUCAAUGUUUGCGGCUGAGUGACGGUGGCGGGUGUUUGACAUUCAUUCCCAUUUCUAGCAUGGGACCUAAGCAUGCACCCAAGGACAAAGAUUUGAUUUCUCAACCAAUUUAUAUGCAAUGGAGCAUGUGCAUGUAGUUCAAAUUUGAAUUAUGCACAUAAAUGCAUUGAAAACUCACUUAAUGCAUAAAAAUGUCCAAACGAACCCUGAAAAAUCACCAAAAAUAACACAACACUCCUGUUGUUCUAUGUUGGCACGAGAAAAUUUUUUGAAAGCAAUAAGAGGCAACAGAUAUCGUUUCGUCCCCAAAGGUGGGGCGUUCCCUACCGAAACCAUCAUGCUUGUUGUGAGAAGCUCUAGUUUGUGAGAAGCAUAUACCCAAACCUGCCCCAAAUGGGACAAAAUAUUUACCACGAUAUGUUGAUGCCGCUCCAUUAUAGCAUGCCAAGUUUCAUGAAUUUCAGACAAGUUUUAGAUUUACUAGAAUUUAAAAACCAGGUAUCUCAAUGUUUGCGGCCGAGUGACGGUGGCAGGGUGUUUGACAUUCAUUGCCAUUUCUUGCAUGGGACCUAAGCAUGCACCCAAGGACAAAGACUUGAUUUUCCAACCAAUUUAUAUGCACUGGAGCAUGUGCAUAUAGUUCAAAUUUGAAUUAUGCACAUAAAUGCAUUGAAAACUCACUUAAUGCAUAAAAAUGUCCAAACGAACCACGAAGAAUCACAAAAAUUAACACAACACUUAUGUUGUUCUAUGUUGACACGAGAAAAUUUUUGAAAGCAAUAAGAGGCAAUGGAUAUCGUUUCGUCCCCAAAGGUGGGGCGUUCCCUACCAAAACCAUCUUGCUUGUUGUGAGAAGCUCUGGUUUGUGAGAAGCAUAUACCCAAACCUGCCCCAAAUGGGACAAAAAAUUUACCACGGCAUGUUGAUGCCGCUCCAUUAUAGCAUGCCAAGUUUCCUGAAUUUUAGACGAGUUUUGGAUUUACUAGAAUUUAAAAACCAUGUAUCUUAAUGUUUGCGGUCGAGUGACGGUGGCAGGGUGUUUGACAUUCAUUCCCAUUUCUUGCAUGGGACCUAAGCAUGCACCCAGGGACAAAGAUUUGAUUUUUCAACCAAUUUAUGUGCUCUGGAGCAUGUGCAUGUAGUUCAAAUUUGAAUUAUGCACAUAAAUGCAUUGAAAACUCACUUAAUGCAUAAAAAUGUGCAAACGAACCCUGGAUAAUUCCAAUUCUUUUAUGACACACAUAUAGUUGCAUGUUCACUGCAGAUAAAAGGUCUAGCAAUUCAAACACCGUCCAUGGCCGCUGUGAUCCCAUUAUGUAAUUCAAAUCAAGACGAAAAAUCAAGUAGAUCCCACACAGUUUAUUAUAACCAACCGUGUGAGAUGCAGGACAAAAUAUCUUGGAGCAUCGUCGGAGUAUAGUACGCAUACGGCUUACGCGAGAAGGUGCGAUGGCUACAGUCCAUAGCCUGCUCUGAAUAAGGGGCCGUGUCUGGUGACACUUUGCACGCCAGUUUUUUCGCUGAAGCGAUUCCAAAUUUUCGGCUUCCGCGGAAAUAUCUACCUCCCCGCCCCUUCCCCCUUACCAAAAGCCACAUUUCCCCUGCUUCCGCCUUCCUUUCCAAGUUGAAACCUUCACUCCUUGCUUGCAGCGCCGCCUCCUCGCCGGCGACCCUCCUUCACGCUGCUCGGCCUUGCCUAUCCAGGCAGGUAAUCCACACCCGACCCCCAUCCUCCUCCUCCUUCCACAUCCCACAUGCCCUGACCGCCGGCGCGAGCGCGACACCUUCCACCCAAAUCACUGACCCCUCCACCAAAUAGGCGUCGGCCUAAGCCAUGGUGCACGCAGUAUAGCCAGGAUCUCAAGGAGCAUUUGGCAGCGGAGAAGCAAAUCGCGGCCGCACGCGCGGAUGAGGUCGCGAUGGCUGCCAUUCGUGCCGACCCCCAGAUCUUGGAGGACCACCUCGCCGUCGAGGCCACCGUUGAUGCCUCGCGCGCCGACUCUGCAACGCGGUUGGCUGCUUUAAACGACAAUUCGUGGCGUUUUCUUGAGUCCACCAUCGGUGCCUUCGACAAAGACUACGAGGUGUUUUCUCAACGUGCAAGUGCUUACCUCAUCUCGAGAGCCAGCAGGUUGGUGCCCGGAGCGGCUCAGGCAACUCUCCACUACAACGAGGGCACCCACGACGCGGAGGCCUCGCCGUCUUCCAUGUCCAAGGAGCCAAUCGUCAUCGAUAUCUCCGACAAUGAGGAGUAGCUUGUCUUAUUAGCUCACUAUAAGGACCCAUGUUCAGUUUGCAAGCUACUGCCUUUCCUUAACAAAUUCUAGUGAAUUGUGCUAUCUACUUUUACAAUGCAAUCUUCUGCUAUAGUGUAUAUGUUCUAUAUGUCAUGCAAUGUGGUGUUCAGUUAACUGCUUGGUUCAAUUCUGCAAAUGUGAUGUUCAAUUCUCCAGGGUGCAAUAUUUCCAAGUUGUUAUGCAUGCUUGGUUUGGUUAACUAUCUGAUCUUCUAUUACGAGUAUGUUAUAUUGUGCAAUGUGGUGCUCAGUUAACGUUUGGUUCAUUUGUUGUGGUGUUUAGUUAACUGCUUGGUUCAAUUCUGCAAAGCGAUGUUCAAUUGUUGUGGCUGCAUUCUGUUAUUGUAUACCAUGUGAGAAAUAAAUCAAAUUUGGAUGUACUAAAUACAUGAGAAACAAAUACAAUUGUUAUAUUUCCAAGUUGUUAAGCAUGCUUGGUUUGGUUAACUGUCUGAUCUUCUAUUAGGAAUAUGUUAUAUUGUGCAAUGUGGUGCUCAGUUAACGUUUGGUUCAUUUGUUGUGGUGUUUAGUUAACUGCUUGGUUCAAUUCUGCAAUGAGAUGUUCAAUUGUUGUGGCUGCAUUCUAUUAUUGUAUACCAUGUGAGGAAUAAAUCGAAUUUGGUUGCACUUAAUACAUGAGAAACAUAUACAAGUGCUAUAUUUCCUAGUUCUUAAUCAUGCUUGGUUUGGAUAAAUGGGUUUUCCAUGUGGCUUGAACUAAUCUGAUGAAUCUGUAAUGUGCUUAUUUAUCAUCAACAUAUUUUACUGAUAGCAUGCGAACCCUUACUUAACCUGAUGACUAACUACCUUAUAUGUGUUGCAGGGAGACAAUGGGAAGCACUGAGGUUUACAAGAUGGUACUAACUGUUAUACCUUGCCUUUUUUUAUUCCUUUGCCCCAUUUCCAAUAUAGAGAAGAUAUUUAUGCACAUCCUUGUUUUCAGGGUUCACUGAUGAUUACCUCUCAAACCACCUCUGUGGUCAGGAGGCAAGGAAAGUUUUCAUACAACACCCACGGUUCAAUAUUGAAGUGUUCCUGAAGAGGUCGAAGGAUGGACGGUCAAUCAUCCACAGGCACUGGCCUAAAGUUGCAAAGACCUUCAACAUGAAUGAAGGCUCAAUAUUCGCCUUCAGCUUCAGCAGUUUUCCAGAUGAGAUGCAUCUCUCUAUGUACCGUCUAUGGUGCUAAUUUCGAAAGGUUCUAGAUGUUGCAUGUGAAACUUGCUGCUGGUGCAGUUGUGUAAUGGGUAGCUGACUGCUGAAGCUAUAUCAUGUUGUACUCCGAUGUAUUUCAAUUAUGAAAUCCUGCUUCCUUUAUAUGGAAAUGGAAGAUAUUAUGUGCUUAAUAUGAAUGUCAAUUAGAUUAGUAAAUGGAUUAUGAAUAAUAGGGCAAUUAGCCCGCUAAUUGGCCAAUUAGCUUGCUAAUUGGGUUUUCCUAUUGCAAAAGGUUAUUGAGAAAACACCAUGGGCGAUGACCUCAGGCAACGCACAUAGUUUCUAGGAAUAAUCCGUGUUGGAUCAAUGAACAAUCACACACGACAUUCUCUUGAAAACUGUUUGCGUUACGCCACCCUGUGCAAACGUUUUCCUUGGAGUGACUGUGUGGGAUGUAUAUACGAACGGAAACUUUUAGUGGUGACUAACUGUGUGGGAUGUACUUACGACCGGAAAUGAUUUCGCCUGUAUAAUUGUAUUUUUUAGCACUACUGUACAUAUUUCUGUAUUUGAAUGUUCGCCGGUCGCACACGACCUCAUUUUGCCGAGCGUGUGUGCCAGGAGGGCAUAUCCCCGACGGUUUCUGGGUCGUGUGGGAAGGACCCCCCUAUCGCCCACACUCACUAGGUGACGGUUCAGAACACCGUCGCAGAAAGGGGUUAAAAACCGUUUGUAUAACACCGACGUGUACCAGUGUAUGAUGGCGAUGAACCGAGAGGAGGAGGAAGGCCCUGUUUGGAUACUCUAACUCAGUUAGAGGUUAGAGUUAGAUUCUAACCCUGAACUAACCCUAAACUAACUCUAACCAAAGAUGUGUUUGGAUGGCAGGGUUAGAUUGACAAUAAAUGCUCUUUCUCAAUCAUUUGACUACUUUGGACCCUAUUCCCUGCCGGAUUUGGUGUGGCUAGCUCUUGUGUGGCCUCCUCCCACUCACAAUUGACAUAAACGAACCAUCUUUACAAAUCAAGCAUGCAAAACAUGAUAAAUUCUAUUUUGUCCAUACAAAUGAGAUAUCCCACUUAAACAUACAAGUCGUCAAUCAAGCUUCACAAAAAAAUUACACUCCAUGAAACAAAGCAUGAGCUAACUCAUCACGGAAGGCAUUCACGAUAGGGAGGGAGCCCGGAGCCGCUGACGCGCCCAGGGAGGAGCUCGUCAUCGUCGCUCUGGAGGAAGGCUCCGUAGAGCCCCAGGCCCGGGAACCCCUCCGACGUUGGCGCUUGCGAGUUGAGGUCGAGACCAGCAUUGGUAGCAGGGCCGCUUGCCGACGGCUACGAACCGAAUCUUUGGGCCUCUAGAAAUAAUGCAAGCCCGAAACUGAAAUACCUAGAAAGGUGAACUGAAUCUUUGGGCCUCUAGAAAUAAUGCAAGCCUGAAACUGAAAUACCUAGAAAGACGAACUGAAUCUUUGGGCCUCUAGAAAGAUUUAUUACCUCCUCAAGCAGCAUCAAACAAUUCCAUGCAUGCACCACAAAUCUAUACCAAGUUUAAUCAGGAUCUACUUUUCCAAAUCAGAAUCAGCGCUAGAGCGAGCAAGAUCAAUUAUAUGGCUGUGAGACAGACAAGGAAUGAAUGAACUAACCCCUCUCGCGACCUCCCUGGUAGAUGUGCCGCUGCUGCGCACGACAGAGGGAGAGAAAGGACCAUUGAAGGGGAGCGGGGUGAACUAUCACUAUCUCAUCUGGGAGAUUAACUCCCACUCGAUUCAAGCGAUUGUGGCACUCAGACAAUCUGAGCACAUGCUCAACGAUUGAGCUUUUCUCCCUUAGUUUGCAGGCUUAAGAAACUUGUCAGAGGUCUCAUACCUCUUGACGUGGGCACUAGUCUGAAAUCCCAAUUUCAGUCUUCGGUACAUCUCACAUGUUCUGCGACGUUUCAAAACGUCUUUGGUGCCACAAUUUUAAACCGCACUGAACUAUCACGUAGUCAUCAAAACGUGUAUGUCAGAUGUUUCGUAACAUAUACAGAGGGCGCUGAGGUUCAGCACACCGAGUGGUGCAUUAAGGACAUAAGCCUUCUGUGCAGCAAUGAGGACAAUCCUCAGUUUACGGACCCAGUCCGCAUAAUUGCUACUACCAACUUUCAACUAAAUUUUCUCUAGGAACAUAUCUUAACCAGUAGAACUAAAGCGCAAGCUAUGACAUAAUUUGCAAAUACCUUUUUUGACUAUGUUCAUGAUAAUGAAGUUCACAUAAUCAAAUUAUUCAAUGAACUCCCACUCAGAUAGACAUCCCUGUAGUCAUCUAAGUGAAACAUGAUCCGAGUUUAACUAGGCCGUGUCCGAUCAUCACGUGAGACGGACUAGUCAAGAUCGGUGAACAUCUCCAUGUUGAUCGUAUCUUCUAUACGACUCAUGCUCGACCUUUCGGUCCUCCGUGUUCCGAGGCCAUGUCUGUACAUGCUAGGCUCGUCAAGUCAACCUAAGUGUAUUGCGUGUGUUCCGAGGCCAUGUCUGUACAUGCUAGGCUCGUCAACACCCGUUUUAUUCGAACGUUAGAAUCUAUCACACCCGAUCAUCACGUGGUGCUUCGAAACAACGAACCUUCGCAACGGUGCACAGUUAGGGUGAACACUUUCUUGAAAUUAUUAUAAGGGAUCAUCUUACUUACUACCGUCGUUCUAAGCAAAUAAGAUGCAAAAACAUGAUAAACAUCACAUGCAAUCAAAUAGUGACAUGAUAUGGCCAAUAUCAUCAUGCUCCUUUGAUCUCCAUCUUCGGGGCACCAUGAUCAUCUUCGUCACCGGCAUGACACCAUGAUCUCCAUCAUUGUGUCUUCAUGAAGUCGUCACGCCAACGAUUACUUCUACUUCUAUGGCUAACGCGUUUAGCAACAAAGUAAAGUAAUUUACAUGGCGUUAUUCAAUGACACGCAGGUCAUACAAAAUAAUAAAGACAACUUCUAUGGCUCCUGCCGGUUGUCAUACUCAUCGACAUGCAAGUCGUGAUUCCUAUUACAAGAAUAUGAUCAAUCUCAUACAUCACAUAUAUCAUUCAUCACAUCUUCUGGCCAUAUCACAUCACAUAGCACUUGCUGCAAAAACAAGUUAGACGUCCUCUAAUUGUUGUUGCAAGUUUUUACGUGGUUUGUAGGUUUCUAGCAAGAACGUUUUCUUACCUACGUAUGACCACAACGUGAUUUGCCAAUUUCUAUUUACCGUUCAUAAGGACCCUUUUCAUCGAAUCCGUUCCGACUAAAGUAGGAGAGACAGACACCCGCUAGCCACCUUAUGCAUCUAGUGCAUGUCAGUUGGUGGAACCUGUCUCACGUAAGCGUACGUGUAAGGUCGGUCCGGGCCGCUUCAUCCCACGAUGCCGCCGAAACAAGAUAAGACUAGUAGUGGCAAGAAAAAUUGACAACAUAUGCGCCCACAACAAUCUUGUGUUCUACUCGUGCAUAGUAACUACGCAUAGGCCUGGCUCAUGAUGCCACUGUUGGGGAUCGUAGCAGAAAUUUAAAAUUUUCUACGCAUCACCAAGAUUCAUCUAUGGAGUUUACUAGCAACGAGAAGGAAGGAGUGCAUCUACAUACCCUUGUAGAUCGCGAGCGGAAGCGUUCAAGUGAACGGGGUUGAUGGAGUCGUACUCGUCGUGAUCCAAAUCACCGAUGACCGAGCGCCGAACGGACGGCACCUCCGCGUUCAACACACGUACGGAGCAGCGAAGUCCCCUCCUUCUUGAUCCAGCAAGGGGGAAGGAGAGGUUGAUGGGGAUCCAGCAGCACGACGGCGUGGCGGUGGAAGUAGCGGGGAUCCCGGCAGGGCUUCGCCAAGCGCAAGCGGGAGGGAGAGGUGUCACGGGAGGGGGAGGGAGGCGCCAGGGGCUGUGGUCCUGCUGCCCUCCCUCCCCCCCACUAUAUAUAGGCCCCUGGGGGGGCGCCGGCCCUGGGAUCCCAUCUACAUGGGGGGGCGGCCGCCAAGGGGGGAAACUUGCCCCCAAGCCAGGUGGGGCGCCCCCACCCCCAGGGUUUCCAACCCUAGGCGCAGGGGGAGGCCCAUGGGGGGCGCACCAGCCCACCAGGGGCUGGUUCCCCUCCCACUUCAGCCCAUGGGGCCCUCCGGGAUAGGUGGCCCCACCCGGUGGACCCCCGGGACCCUUCCGGUGGUCCCGGUACAAUACCGAUAACCCCCGAAACUUUCCCGGUGGCCGACACUGGACUUCCUAUAUAUAAUUCUUCACCUCCGGACCAUUCCGGAACUCCUCGUGACGUCCGGGAUCUCAUCCGGGACUCCGAACAACUUUCGGGUUUCCGCAUACUAAUAUCUCUACAACCCUAGCGUCACCGAACCUUAAGUGUGUAGACCCUACGGGUUCGGGAGACAUGCAGACAUGACCGAGACGACUCUCCGGUCAAUAACCAACAGCGGGAUCUGGAUACCCAUGUUGGCUCCCACAUGUUCCACGAUGAUCUCAUCGGAUGAACCACGAUGUCGAGGAUUCAAUCAAUCCCGUAUACAAUUCCCUUUGUCAAACGGUAUGUUACUUGCCCGAGAUUCGAUCGUCGGUAUCCCAAUACCUUGUUCAAUCUCGUUACCGGCAAGUCUCUUUACUCGUACCGUAAUGCAUGAUCCCGUGGCUAACUCCUUAGUCACAUUGAGCUCAUUAUGAUGAUGCAUUACCGAGUGGGCCCAGAGAUACCUUUCCGUCACACGGAGUGACAAAUCCCAGUCUCGAUCCGUGUCAACCCAACAGACACUUCCAGAGAUACCUGUAGUGUACCUUUAUAGUCACCCAGUUACGUUGUGACAUUUGGUACACCCAAAGCACUCCUACGGCAUCCGGGAGUUACACGAUCUCAUGGUCUAAGGAAAAUAUACUUGACAUUGGAAAAGCUCUAGCAAACGAACUACACGAUCUUUGCGCUAUGCUUAGGAUUGGGUCUUGUCCAUCACAUCAUUCUCCUAAUGAUGUGAUCUCGUUAUCAAUGACAUCCAAUGUCCAUAGUCAGGAAACCAUGACUAUCUGUUGAUCAACGAGCUAGUCAACUAGAGGCUUACUAGGGACACGUUGUGGUCUAUGUAUUCACACAUGUAUUACAAUUUCCGGAUAACACAAUUAUAGCAUGAACAAUAGACAAUUAUCAUGAACAAGGAAAUAUAAUAAUAACCAUUUUAUUAUUGCCUCUAGGGCAUAUUUCCAACAAAGGGCGCAUGUAAAAUGAAGUGAUCACACUGUUACCUUAAGGACAUGUCUAACCAGUGUUAUUGUUAAUCUAAUGCCUCAAGUGAUAUGAUGCAAUUAAACUAUGUUACAAAUGGUACUCCUGCAGUUUUCCCCAGUAUGAUAAGUAAGUUGCUUCUUUACGCUGCUGAGUGUCCUAGUGUCCCCAUGGUCCCAUGCCCUUAAACCAACUCUUUAGCUGUUGUUGAUCUACUGUAUCUGGUAAACGAGCAAUGACACCAUUAAAGUAAUCCCAUAUUUGACGAAUGUCAUUGUUGAUCGUAAUGCUUCCGGUAACAUGAAGCAUUGCUGACGUUUAAAAUUUCUACUAUCCUUGCGUGAUUGCCAUGAACAUAUUGAAGAUGCUUCUUUUCAUUUCGUGUAUGUUUCGUAUCUUGUUAUUGACCAGCAACUGUUUUCUUUCUAUCUUUUUGUGCAGAUAGGGAUAUCCAUUUCACCUUGUUGCUAUUGUGACCUUUUGGUGAACUGCACAAAACACUUUUUUGGAAUGAGUGUCUUGUGCAGUUCAACUAAAAUGUCACGUGGGCAACAUCUCUCAAUUUUGGUGGAACUGCACAAAAUGGUGAUUGGACUUUCCAAAAUCUCCAUCAAAUUCUGCCGGUAAUCUCGUGCAACAUUUUAUUAGCCUUUGCAAGAUGAUCCGUCACUGUCACCACAAUGGCACUUUAUUUUAGUGGAACUGCACAAAAGGAUAAGCAAAUUAUAGUUGCACCUUACAUGAGCAGGACAGCCAACCUUAAUGUUGCUCAAUUUUUGUGCAAAUACUAAAGAAGAACCUGCCAGCUCAUGAGAGCAAGUACUUCUUGCUAGCUGAAUGAUGCAAUCUUUGCUUCAUUUCAGGUGAACUGCAGAAAAAGUCGCAUGAAUUGAAUCAUCGAAUGGAGCUGCAGGUUGACUUCAACUAGUGCCACUAUUAUAGUAAUCAUGCUCUUUCUUAUUUGUGUUGUGCAAACACGAAUACUCAACUACAAAUGUUGUGAUGGUCAAGAGCAUUCGCCAAGUUCUUGGUUUGUAUGACACGGCUAGCCAAGAUGGAUUUAAUCCCGAUAUUCACUUUAUCAAAAUGCUCUAAUGGGUUGGUUUUGAAUCUUGCAAGCUGGGAAUCAAUGAGAUGUGUAGGCAUCUUUGUUGUACUUAUUAUUUGAAUCUUACUUGUUGGUUCUGAAUCUUGCAAGUUGGGAAUCAAUGAGAUGUGUAGGCAUCUUUGUUGUACUUAUUAUUUGAAUCUUAUUUGUUGGUUCUGAAUCUUGCAAGCUGGAAAACAUGGCAUGAUGAUGCAGAGGACAGCAACCAUAACAAACAGUUCAAACUUGGUAGUAUUAUCCAUGUGAAAGUGCGAUAAAUGUGCUGAUCGUGUGCAUCCUGAGAAUAAUAAUUCUAAUUGGUGUGCAUGUUGAUGUUGUGGCAAUGAUAGAAUGAGCCAAUGCAUUGCUUGUUUUAAGAAUAAAUUUUAAUUAAAGCUAAUUAAAUUUAACUAAAGUGACCACUAACACUUGUUAUUACAGUACCAAUACAAACCCGCUCGUGAACCGACGUGUGGCCGGAAUAGGUUUCUUAAUGGAGGCAUUUGAAUGCGCCGAGGGUGCAUGUUCUGUCGGGCGUGCAGCGGGCAAGGGAGGGGUAGUAACUGUUGUCGCCUAUACACACUCAGUUUACUGUUGAAUCUAGUUCCCCAAGAGCUGGAAAAUGAACUGCUGCCACCGCCUACCCACUCGUUCACUUGAAGAGACUCCAAUGGCCAUCCGAGGGGUGAGCCUGCUGGAUAUGGACUUCAGCAAGGAGUUCACCUUUGAGUUCGCUAUUCAGUCCCUUGGCUGCACCAAGUUGAAUGUGAUGUACACCAACGAUCCAGACUCGGUGAAGCUCUGCCUCGCCGAGUUCAAGCAGUACCUACAGGACGAGAAAGCACAAGGUCGCAGGACUAGACCUUGUGCCCAUCCAUUCGUCUCCUGACAGGGACCAGCGGAUCGCCGUCGCCCAGGUAUGCGUGCGGGCCGAGGUUCUCGUCAACCACUAUUGUAGGUCCAUCAAAGGUUCUGGAGCAUUCAACCGUUUCAUCGGCAAUUCUGACUGCACCUUCGCUACGGUGGAGAGAAGGAAGAACACGACGAUUCGGCCAUCUGGUGCAACAAUCUUGUCGACAUCCAGAAGCAAUACAAGAUCAUCGGUAAUGGGAAGGAGAAGGACUCCGUGGCCCCUGCUAUGCCAACAUGAAAGAAGACAACUAUACCAAUGACCUGAACACGUGGGAGGUACCUCUGAAUCUAGCCUACAUAACCUACGCGGCCAAGGACGCAUACGCAUGCUACGACAUGUACAGGCGAUCUUGGACAUGAGGGCGUGCCUGCUUCCCGUAACCGACGAGUACACGGACAGCCGCAGCGUCAUGAUCAAGCGUGCCAAGAAAGUCUAGAUGUUGUACUUUAUCUAUUUAAGCACCUUUAUCAUCUGAGUGUUUCAUGCAUUAGCCUAUGUGUCGUAAUGAUCUGUUUUGUCCGAAAUAUUUCUUCUAAGAACCCAUUAACCUGUUUGCUUUUUUAGUGGCUAUUUGCUUAUGUAUGUAACUAGUUCACUCGGUUGUCGUGCUUUGAAUGUCCUUCCUCCCAACAUAUUCCCCUUCUCAGGUGGACCUAGCAAGUCUGGUACACAGACAUCCGGGACCAACCACCUAUCCAUUUGUAUUUCUUUAUUUUGGUCAAUCUUUCAUCCUCUUCCUAUAUAGCGGCUGGCGCGCUGCCGCGCACGCCUCGGUGACCCAUCAUAGCCUAUGGCGUUGGCCAAGCCAUCCCUCUCCUCCCACACAUUGUCCGGCGGCGGCAGCUCCACCGGCCCACCCUGCACCCGAACAAGUCAACCCUUGUACUCCCCUCCGCCUGCGUCUUCCCCCGCUCCGGUUCGUUCGGUCCGAGGUCUCGACGUCGUCCUCCGCCUUGGUGCUCUCUCCGCGGCGCCGCCGUAUGUCGUUCCCAACAUGGUCAACCAAAAAAGAGGAAUCGUGAGAUGACUGUUCGUCGAGAGGCUGACAGUCCCGGGACCACCAGGUCCAUGGCCUAGGUUUUGUUGUUUAACAUGGGCAACCCACGACAUGUUUCAACUUUUUUUGGAUCCAGCAGGUAUCAAGCAGCCUUUGGGUCUCCCAGCCUAGCUUGUCUAUAACAUCAGCAGCCCAAGUUAUGUUUGUUUUUUCAAGACGACGCACGGCUCAAUUCUAUUUUCUAUAAGAAUGCAAAACUGAACCUAUGUUUUCCCUUCUAUAAUAGUAUAUAUAUAUAUAUUAAUAUUUACAUCUUAUUUUAUUACACAUAUAUAUAAUACAAAUAACAUAAGGUUCCGUUAAACCUGUCGCUCGUCCAACCAUUUUAUAGACCUUCCCACUUCCUUUAUUUUUCGUUUUCAUUAAUCCUAUAUCAGAAUUUUCUCCCACUUUCUUUUUCGAUGUAAUCUGAGUUUUCUCCCAGCACUUUUCCAUAGAACCAACUCAACUGUCCCACGUCUAGCCUAAAAAAUAAUAAUACCCCACGUCCUAUUAACUCAUCUCGAAAGUUCUUACAAAAUAAUAAUAAUAAUUGUUUAUAUAUAACUUGGCAAGUUAACUCCUAGUGAUUGCAUACAUAAGCUUGCAAAGAUUUUACUGACCAAUGCAGUAAUAGACGUGCAAUCAUGUGUUUAUGUUUUUAUAGCGUUUCUCCCUCCAGCCCAACAUGAUAUUUUCACCCAGCCCAGCAAGUCCGCGGAUUUCGAGAAAAUGCAAAUGGGCUUUAAAUUCUACCAUAAUAUAUAAACGGGCUGCAUAGAUGCUACAUAAUUGUUUCACCCAGCCCACCAAUGGACUAAAAAAACCAAAUGGACUGGCUGGCAUGUGGGCCAGUAGGUCGAAGCCUAAGCACUUUCGCAAAAAAUAAAAAUACAAAGGUCGAAGCCUAAGCAAGGCGUUGGAUUUACAUCCAACGGCUGGUAUUCUUCUUCAAUCUCUCGUCUUCUUCCCCCAGCGCUGCCGGGACCGCCUGCUCCAGCCUCCGGCGUCCAGCGGCGCUGUUUUGCGCGCCUCGCAGCGAAACGCUACCCCGCCGACGGCCAGGCCAUCCCUCCACUCCUCCGCACCUCCUGUUAUUCUCUGCCGAGUGUAGGCCCGCCCCGCACCCGAACCAGUCAAGUGUCCCACUCCUCUCUGUCUGUGACUCCACUGCUGCAUCUUCCCCAUCUUCGUGGCAUUCCAGUCUGGGGCCUCGCCUUCAUCCACUGGCUUGCUACGCUCUGCACGGUGUGGUCAACAUGGUCAACAAACGAGAGUCAUCGGAAGAUGACUGUACGUGGAGAGGCUGACAGUGGGGACGCACCACGCCCAUGGACGCAUGCAUGCAACUGCAUCCUUUUUACCCUAAAAAUAAUGUUUUCUCCCCCUGACAGCUGGGACCCACUAGCUACAUCUUUGCACGCAAGGAAGUGUGUCCUUAUUAUGGGCAAAAAAUGAUUCUUCCCUCUGAGAGCCGUGACCCACCGGCUAUAUCUUCGCACGUAAGGAAGUGCGUCCUUAUCCUCCCUGACAGCUGGGACCCACCCAGUUGAAGCGUACGUAGCGUUGUCUGUGUACAUACCGGUCAAUUGGUCUAUCUGCCACGAUGAACCGUGGCUGGGUAAGGAGCGGUAGCAGUUCAGGCAGUCCAGUCGAAACCGUGUACACGUACGUACAACCAGAUGCCAAAAAAUACGGCCACGUACAUACAUACGGGAGGGGUCUCGAACGCGUACUCGCGCAUACGUACGGCCAGGGCUCGUGUACAUGGAGAGGCCACGGACGGCAGCAACGGCGUCCUGAUCAUCGGAAGCCAACCGGCUGGGUCGGAAAGGAGAAACUGCGUCGUGUUCAUGGGGAGGCAACGGAAUGCGUCGUGUUCAUCGAGAGGCAACGAAAUACGUCGUGUUCAUCAGGAGCCAACCGGCUUGGAUGGAACAGCCGAAAUGAGGUCUGGCGUACCGCAGAACAGAGGAAACGGGCCUUCUGUUCGACCGCGUACGGUCGAAACCGGGCCCUGUUCAUCGGGAAGGGUCUGGCAUACCGCAGAAUGGAGGAAACGGACUUGUGUUUGACCGCGUACGGUCGAAACGGGGUCCUGUUCAUCGGGAGGGGUGUGGCGUACCGCAAAAUGGAGGAAAUAGACUUGUGUUGGAGCGCAUACAGUCAAAACAGGGUCAUGUUCAUCCACCGUCUACUGCCUCGCUUCAGCCUCCACAUGCUACUAUUCAUCCACCGUCGACUUCCUCCAGCCUCCACCUGUUACUAUUCAUCCACCGUCGACUUCCUCCAGCCUCCACCAGCUACUGUUCAUCCACGAGGUCAUGUUCAUCCAGCCUCCACCGGCUAUUGUUCAACCAGCCCUCUUGUUGGGAAACGUAGCAUGCAAUUUCAAAAAAAUUCCUACGCUCACACAAGAUCUUCCUAGGAGAUGCAUAGAAACGAGAGGGGGAGUGUGUCUACGUACCCUCUUAGACCGAAAGCGGAAGCGUUUGACAACGCGGUUGAUGUAGUCGAACUUCUUCUCGUUCUGACCGAUCAAGCACCGAACGUACGACACCUCCGAGUUCUGCACACGUUCAGCUCGAUGACGUCCCUCGAACUCUUGAUCCAGCAAAGUGUCAAGGAAGUAGAUGAGUUCCGUCAGCACGACGGCGUGAUGACGGUGAUGGUGAAGUGAUCCGCGAAGGGCUUCGCCUAAGCACUACGAGAAUAUGACCGAGGGUAUAAUCUGUCGGGGAAACGACACCUAUGGGAUCACAAGAAUCCCUACUACGGUUGCCGGGGCGCAGGGUUGCAAGAAGAGCAGGAUCAGUAGACAGCACAAGGAUCGUUUACCCAAGUUCGGGCCGCGAGGAUGCGUAAAACACUAGUCCUGCUUUGGUGGGUGUAUUUCAGAUAGUUCUUGAGCUCUCGAACUAGCUGUGGUGAGUGCGUGGUUCGAAAGAGCCGAAUCCUCCUCCAGUAUGCCAUGGGCCUCCUUUUAUAGUCGAAAGGGGCUGCCAAAGUGGCACACAGGAGGUGGAAAGGCGUACAGUGCCCUGAGCUUAGGUGUCCCCUUGCUUUAUUGGGGACGGGGGCGAGGCCCGUCCCGUCCGUCGCCGCUCCUCCUCGCUUCGACACGCGCCCUGGCCAGCGAGGCGUGCGGUGCCAUGUUGGCAGGCAGGCAGUUGAGGUGGCGCAGUGGUGGAGCCUUCACGAAGAUCUGCAUGCCGCCCCGCAUGCGCUCAAUGAGUUGGCCUGGGAUCUGCAUGUUGCCACGCAGGUGCCCGCCCAGCUGGUUGGGCUGGCAGCUGCAUGUGAACGGUGGUGGAAGCUUGGUUGGCGUGGCCUGGCGGUGGCCCUGCUGGCGUCGUUGGUGAAGGCCUUGCCGGGCGGCCCGACAAGGGUCUUGCCGUGUGGCCCGGCAAGGGCCUUGCCGUGGCGCACUGUCGUUCCCGGCAAGGGCCGCCGGGGGUCUGGUGGCCUUCCUCGGCAAGGAUCUUGCCGAGGGUCAUCGUCUUCUAAUCCUCAUCUGACCUUGAAUAUGUCUUCACAAAGAUCUGCAUGCCACCACAGAGGUGCCUUCCCGAGCCCUGGCCCCACGUGGAUGAUGGCGUUGGGGACCAUGGGCUCAAGGGUGGCUCGCUCUGUUGGUUGGGGUGAGCUGCCCCGGCAAGGGUCUUGCCGGGGGAACCUGCUUCGUCCCUCUGCUCUUUGUGGUCUUGGCCUUGGCGUUGCUCUGAUUGCCUUGGGCUUCGGUCUUAUCUUGGCUCACCUCCCCUGCUCUACUUGGUGCGACCGUGGGCGCGGCUCCGACUGCCCGUGCACAGGUAAAGGGGUACAAAAGCGUGCCCCUCUUUUUGUACACUGACAGGAUCCCCCGGGCCUGGGCCACACAUAAGCGCGACACGUUGUUGGGCCAGGCCCAAAACGGUGCGCGGGCAGGCGGGGCGGUUUUUACCGCGGUAAAACUCUUCGCGCGUUGCGCUUCCCACGACCCGCACGCGCGGCGCGGCGUGGAGGGGUGUGCGUGACGCGGGCGACAUGCGUGGGGCGGUUUCCACACGCAUGCAUCACAUCGCAGUAAAGAGGCGGCUCAUUUACUGAACGGGGCCGGGUCGCGGUCUUCAAGGCAUCCACUCCCCACGAUCACGGGGUGGGGAGAGGCCGCUUCACCCGUCCCCUCGGUUCUGCAUGCCCGCCAUGCGUCCCUCAUGCGCCUGGGGUGGUAAGCGGUGGAGGCGGGAAACCGGGCCGUCGCUGGUUGGGGCAGCGGGUCAAUCCCGAUUCCCUGCGCCUCUGGUGGCUGGAUUGGCCGAGCGGGGUGGCCGAGCCCUGACCCCGCCUCUUUAUAAAGAGGGGGAAGGGGGGAUGGCGUCCCGCACUCUUUCAUCAUCUAUCUUCUCUUGCUUCUACUUCUCCCUUUCACUCGCCAUGGAGAAGGGGAAUCCUGGUCCCUCGACGGUGGCGGCGAGGGUUGCCGCUCGACAGCGCGUCCCUCCUCCUCCUGAGCCUGCGGUGGUGGAACCGGCCGCGAGGGAAGGGGGAGGGGGCGAGGCCGGGGCAGAGGCCAUAGUGCUCGGGGAAGAGGAGGACGGGGUGGCGUGCCGGCCUUGCCCCCGCCAAUGAUGCCCUUCCCGAUGGAGGUCCACAUAUAAGACCAGCCUUGCGAGUUCUUCAUCAGGCUGCGCCGGCCUCCGCGUCGUCGCCUUCGUCUCCCCGCCCCGUUCGCUCGGGUGAUGGAGCGUGACCCGCCCCAGACCCUCAGGUUGCACAUGAGGGGAUGUGGGAACGCGGGCACGCGGGUCGACGUCGACUUCCCGGCUCCUCGGGUUAUGUACCUCCGCCGUGGAUGGAAGACGUUCGCUCGCAUCCAUAGCCUGACGGCGGGGCUCGUCCUCUACUUCAAAUUGAUGGAGGAUGGCCUGCUCUCCGUCAAGGUCUUUGGAGAGUUCGGGACUCGCCUGAAGUGCUGCGUGGAGAGCUCCUCUGAUGGAGAUUCCGACGAUGGAAGCUCUUCCUCGAGCGAAAGUGAUGAGGAGGACAGCGGGGCAGAUGACGGGGAUGAGUCCGACUAGGCGUCGGACGCCCCGCGCCUGGGCGGGUGCGGCAGCAGCAGCAUCUGCACCUGGCCGCUCCUUCGGCAGAGUUUUGCCGGGGGUGGGGCCAGCUCCUUGAACUUCACGGGGCCGUCUCCUUGGGCGGCUGCCGAAGAGGAGGAGGGCGGGCGGCAAGGCCGUCAACUCGGAGUACGCGAGCACCGAUGCCUUCGUCGCGUACUGCCGGUCCUGCCGCCUCGUCUUCCAGCUCCUUUCCCGGCACCGUCAUCACCGGCCUCCCCGUGGGCGGCCACCGAGGUGUUCUCUUGGUGCUUUCUGCUGCUCGUAGCUCGCCUAGGCGCCCCUUUUGUCCUCUCGCCUCCUUGACCUGCCUCCUGAGGAGAGGGACAAGAAAGGGAUCACGAGCACCUUAUCUCUUUUUUAAUCUGUAAGCCUUCGGGCCUUGUUAAAUUUAAAGCUUGUAAUCCCCUUUGUUCAUGUUUUUCAUUUGGUACGAACUGUACCUGUAUGGGAUGUUUUUAAUGAAAAAGGGAUGCUUGCCGGGUGUUUCGUUCGUGGGUAAAUCCCGCGACAAGGAGCGAAUCCUUGUUAUGGUUUAAGAUAAACGUUUUUCGCCCGGCAACAGGCCUUGCCGUCUCCCCACUCCACUCGACCAUUCUCGCGCUCUUGGCGGAGGCAGGGAUGAAGUGGGCUUUAGGCUCCUCGUUCUACCUGCUUGCCGCCGCGGCUACUACCAAAUCCGGACCCAGGAAAUAAUCCUUAUGUAUAGGAAAAAGGGGAGCACGACAGCUUAGAGAUAAAAACGAGGUUUCACAUGCCCCAGUCCUAUUCCGAAAUGCAUGACAGAGGAUAAAAGACUUAUCUGGAUCUGCAGCCCCCCGGCAAUCUCAUCUUGCCGCGGUCGGAUCCUUGUGCUUGCAGCCCCCGGCAACUCUGGCUUGCCGGGGUCGGGACGCCGGUCCGUUUUCUUUCUUCCAAGUAGCUCGGCAGAAGUGCUCAUGUGCCCUGCGAAUCAAAAGAGGAUAGAAGAGAAACAGAUAGACACGCACUCGACCUCUAAGCUAGGGGUUAGCCGCUGUUGAGCACUAUCAACCCUAACCAAGGAAGAGACUCGACCUAGCAUGCAUGCUAUGACUUAUGGCGCCAGCGCUUCGUUUGUUUAUGCUCAGGGUCUGCGCCUGGCUUUGUACAAAGGGUCACAUGCCUUGCCGGCAAAGCUUGUACAAAAGGUGGCUUGCCUGGAGGCCCGUCAAGCCGCGCCUUACGGGUAAAACUUGCGAAGAUGCUCGAUGUUCCAGGAGUUGCUCACUGGGACAGCAUCUUUGGUCUCCAGGCGGACUGUGCCGGGCCUGGUGACUCGCAUUACCCGGUAAGGGCCUUCCCACUUCGGCGUCAACUUGUUGGAAUUCUUGGCUGACUGAACGCGCCAAAGAACAAGGUCGCCUUCCUCAAAGCUUCGGGCAUGAACCUUGCGGCUAUGGUAGCGGUGCAAGGCUUGCUGGUAGCGUGCCGCUCUCACAGCCGCCCGAAGACGAUCUUCCUCGAGGAGCGCCGCGUCAUCUUGGCGCAACGGCUCUUGCUCAAGCUCAUCAUAAGCGAGCACUCGAGGCGACCCGUAUAUGAGUUCCGUGGGGAGAACUGCUUCCGCCCCGUAUACCAGGGCAAAAGGUGUCUGGCCGGUGGCUCGAUUUGGCGUCGUCCUGAUCGACCAAAGAACCGCCGGCAACUCAUCAAUCCAGCGCCUUCCACUCUUGUGCAGCUUGUCAAAGGUCUUCGUUCUCAGGCCUCGCAACACUUCAGCAUUUGCCCUCUCCGCUUGGACGUUGCUCCGUGGGUGUGCCACGGAAGCAAAACAGACCUUGCUACCGAGGUCUUGAAUGUACUGCAUGAAGGUGUGGCUUGUGAACUGCGUGCCGUUGUCGGUGAUGACUCUGUUUGGCACACCAAAACGGCAGACCAGUCCCUUGAAGAACUUGACGGCUGACUGAGCAGUCACCUUUCUCACUGCUUCCACUUCCGGCCACUUUGUGAACUUGUCGAUUGCAACAUACAAGUACUCAAAGCCCCCGACAGCGCGGGGGAAAGGGCCCAGUAUAUCGAGCCCCCAGACCGAGAAUGGCCAGGAGAGAGGGACUGUUUGAAGGGCUUGAGCUGGUUGAUGAAGCUUCUUUGAAUGGAACUGGCACGCUUCACACUUGGUUACUAGUGCAGUCGCAUCCUGGAGAGCGGUGGGCCAGAAGAAACCUUGCCGGAACGCCUUCCCGGAAGGGCCCUUGACCCUAUGUGGGAGCCACAUAUGCCUCCAUGUAUCUCCGCCAACAGCUCCAAUCCUUCUUCCCGAGGGAUGCACUUCAAUUUCACACCGUUUGGCCUUCUCCUGUACAGGACAUCAUCGACGAACUGGUACAGGGCGGACCGACGGGCUACUUUUUCCGCUUCUUCCUGCUCCUCAGAAAGCUCCCUUGUUUGGAGGAAUUGGACGGUAUGCUGUGCCCAUGCCGGAGCCUGGGGCUCGACGGCAAGGGCUAAAGGCAUUUCUUCCGCCAUGGGAGCGGCUGUCUCUACGGCCAGGGUUUGACGCCCUGCCGGAGCUAGUUGCUCUUGGGCAGGCUCAGCAUCCGCGGCACCACCCUUGCCGGCAGCCCCAGGGGGCUCAAUAGGAAAGUACUUUCCGGGACCUGACUUCCUUCGCUUGUUCUGCCCCGCUGAUGGUUCGACGGAUGGUUGAGUUAGCCGGAGCAAAAAGGUACCCGGUUCCACAGGUAGCUUGAAUGCGGCAUGCUUUGACAGGUAAUCGGCGGUGUCGUUCUCCGCUCGGGGGAUGUGCUCCGCUUGGAUACCGUCAAAGCAUUCCUCCAGCUUCCUCACCUCAUCUACGUAAGCUUCCAUCAAUGGGCUAUGAUAAUCCUUGUUGACCUGUCCGACAACGAGCUGCGAGUCACCCCUGACAAUGAGCUUCUUAACCCCGAGGUCUGCCGCAAUCCUGAGACCGGCAAGCAAUCCCUCGUACUCAGCAGUGUUGUUGGUGGACAUCUCCCUGGGGAAGUGCAUCUGGAUCACGUACUGGAGGUGCUCUCCGGUGGGUGCGAUGAGCAGCACACCGGCACCGGCGCCUUGCAGCGAGAAAGCCCCAUCAAAGUACAUGAUCCAGUCGCGGUCUGCUUCCUUGCCGGGGAGAGUGGUCUCCUGGAUUUCUUCGUCAGGCGUCGAGGUCCAUUCUGCAAUGAACUCCGCCAAGACUCUGCUCUGGAUUGUCGAGGUACUUUCAAACUUUAAACCAAAUCUUGACAACUCCAAGGCCAAUUCCACAAUCCUUCCAGUCGCAUCUGGGUUGUGCAGUAUCCGUUGCAAUGGGAGGCGGGUGACGGCAGUGAUUUCGUGGGCUUGGAAGUAAUGACGCAGCUUCCUCGAGGCCAUAAGGAGGCCGAAGAGCAAUUUCUGCACACCGGAGUACCUCGAUCUAGCUCCCUGCAAGAGGGAGCUGACAAAGUAAACCGGGUGCUGCAUCAUCUUCUUCUUCUGCACCACCUCACUCGACUGCGCAGGCACCGCCUCGGUGGCAUCAGACUCUGCCGGGGGCCUCGCCUCGCCGGCACCAGGCCCUGCCGAGGGAAUCUUGGGCUUGCCACCCGCUAGUUCUGCCGCCGUCACUGCCUCCUCAUUGACUCUUCAUCCUCUCUUGUCAUGAAGAUCUGGCGGUAGCCUGAGUAGGCGUCGAGGAAUGAUAACAUAUCACACCCGGCUGUGGAGUCAACAAUCUGGUCGAUGUGCGGCAACGGGAAGGGGUCUUUAGGACAAGCCUUAUUGAUAUCUGUGCAAUCAAUACAUAGUCUCCACUUCUCAUUCGCCUUGCGCACCACUACCGGAUUGGCCAACCACGUCGGGUGGAGCACUCCUCUCACCAAACCUGCCGCUUCCAACUUCCUGAUCUCCUCUGUGAUGAACUCCUACCUCUCCAGAGCCUACUUUCUGACCUUCUGCUUGACGGGCCGCGCGUGGGGGCAGACAGCUAGGUGGUGCUCAAUCACCUCCCUGGGAACGCCGGGGAUGUCGGAUGCUUUCCAUGCAAACACGUCGACAUUCGCCCGCAGGAAGGUGACGAGCGCGCCUUCCUAUUUGCUGUCGAGGGCGGAGCCUAUGGUGAAGGCCCCUCCCAUGCCAUCCUCCCCGACGGGCAGCUUCUUGGUCUGCGGUGGCUCGGCACUGGAUCUCUUGCCCUUGUCGGUAGAGCUCUCUGGCACGUCCUCGACGGUAGCACAACACUCCGAGGAGGUGCGCUUGCCGGAGUGGGUGCGAGAGGUCUUGCCGGGCUUCUUCUUCCCUCCCGGGCCUUCAGCGGCAGGAGCAGGUGCUUUGACGGCAGCUACUGCAACUGCUUCCCGGUAGAGUUGGUCGGCGCAAAUCAGCGCGUCCUUCUUGUCGGAGGGGACGGAGAUGAUGGUCAACGGUCCGGACAUCUUUAGCAUGUUGUAGGCGUAGUGUGACGCCGCCAUGAACUUGGCUAGUGCCGGGCGGCCGAGGAUCCCGUUGUAGGGCAAGCGGAUCUCGGCCACGUCGAAGACGAUCCUCUCCGUUCUGUAGUUCAACUCUCCUCCAAAUGUCACGGGCAGUGUGACCUUUCCCUUCGGCUGGCUCCUCCCCGGAUUGACCCCUUGAAACGUGCCCGUUUCCUCGAGGUCUCCAUCAGGGAUUUGCAACUUUUUGAUCACGACAGGCGAGAUCGGGUUCAGGUCGGCCCCGCCGUCAACCAACAUCUUGUUCACCCGGAGGUUGCGUAUCGUUGGUGAGACCAACAAUGGCAAACAUCCGACCGCGGUAGUGCGGUCAGGGUGGCCCUCGACGUCAAAGAUGAGGGGCGUGCUGGACCACUUCAGCGGCUUCUAAGCGUCGAACGAUGGCUCUGCUGCUGUAAUCUCACGCGCCCACUGCUUGAGCUGGCGGUGAGAGGUAUGCAGCGAGGCGCCGCCAUCGACACACAUGGCCUCCGUAGCCUUCUGGAACCCUUGCUCACCAGAAUCAUCGUCCUCGUCGUGAUCAUCGUCUUCUUGUUUCUUGUCGCGGCCCCGGGCGGGCCUCUCUCGCUGGUUGUCCUUGCCGGGGCGGCCUCCUUGGCCGCCACGCUUCUUGCUGGAUCCCUCGGCACCGUCCUGGUCCUUCCCCUUGUCCUGCCUCUCGUACUCAGCCUUUUGCUUCUCAGCAAGCAGCUCGACUUGUCGGCAGUUCUGGAGGUCGUGGCCCUUGGUGCGAUGGAUCUUGCAGUAUUGCUUGCCAGAGCUUCCUGGCUUGUCGGUAGCCGCCAAGGCCCGGCAGGCGACGCACCCGACAAUCUCCUUGCUGGGGGCGUCUGCCUUGACCUUCUUGCCGGCACCGGUGUCGUCAGAUCCCUCAACGGCAAGCACGGCCUUGCCUUUGCGUUUCCUAUUGCGACGCCGACCCUUCUUCGUCAUGGUAGCGGCAUCUUCAUCGGUAGAGUCGGUUUCCGCGCCGGCGUCUUCGCCGGGGUACUUCCUUCCUUCUUCAGCCCGGACGCACCUGUUGGCCUGAACGUAAAGCUCGGCCACAUCGCCAGCUCUUCACGCAUCUUGCGGUUGCGCACGUUCUGGUGGAACGCGCUGAUCACAGCGGCAGGAUGAACGUCGGGGAUGUUGUACUGCACCCGGCUGAAUCUCUGGAUGUACUUGCAUAGGGAAACCCCUUCCUUCUGGGGGGUGAUAUGCAGAUCACUGGCCUGGCCGUGAGCUUGGUGGCCUCCCGUGAAGGCGCCAACAAACUCAUGGCACAGAUCCGACCAUGAAGAAAUGGAAUCCACAGGCAAGUGCAUCAACCAAGACAUCACAUUGGGCUUCAGCGCCAGCGGGAAAUAGUUGGCAAGCACCUUGUCGUCACGAGCUCCAGCAGCCUGCAUCGUGAUGGUAUAGAUGCUGAGGAACUCGGACGAAUGGGUCUUGCCAGUGUACUUGUAACGCCCCAAGACCG
RNAcentral lists this long non-coding RNA (39886 nucleotides) under Triticum aestivum (bread wheat). RNAcentral describes it as "long non-coding RNA (TAES_LNC013541)". Lineage: Eukaryota; Viridiplantae; Streptophyta; Magnoliopsida; Poales; Poaceae. The record is from RNAcentral.